UACGUAGGGCGCAAGCGUUGUUCGGAGUUACUGGGCGUAAAGCGUGCGCAGGCGGUUUUGUAAGCCAGAUGUGAAAUCCCCCGGGCUUAACCUGGGAAUGGCAUUUGGGACUGCAAGGCUUGAGUUUGGCAGAGGAGACUGGAAUUCCUGGUGUAGCAGUGAAAUGCGUAGAAUAUCAGGAGGAAUACCGAUGGCGAAGGCAGGUCUCUGGGCUAGAACUGACGCUCAUGCACGAAAGCGUGGGGAGCAAACAGG
Molecule: ribosomal RNA, 255 nt
Filed under: uncultured bacterium
Lineage: Bacteria
Description: partial 16S ribosomal RNA
Rfam family: Bacterial small subunit ribosomal RNA
Source: RNAcentral